RNAcentral lists this ribosomal RNA (332 nucleotides) under uncultured eukaryote. Its description in RNAcentral is "partial 18S ribosomal RNA". It matches the Rfam family "Eukaryotic small subunit ribosomal RNA", at positions 1470 to 1796 of the family's 1831-position model. The record is from RNAcentral.
CCCUUAGAUGUUCUGGGCUGCACACGUGCUACACUGGCAGGUUCAGCGAGCUUCAUGCCCUGAUCUGAAAGGAAUGGGAAAUCUUUUCAAAACCUGCCGUGCUUGGGAUAGAUGCUUGCAAUUAUUCAUCUUCAACGAGGAUUGCCUUGUAAGCGCACGUCAUCAGCGUGCAUUGAAUACGACCCUGUAUUCUGUACACACCGCCCGUCGCUCCUACCGAUUGAAGUUUUCGGUGAGUUGACAGGAGGAUUUUUUUGAAACUGGUUCGCCAGUGGAUUUUAGAUCCAAAUGCCAACGAAUCGAUGGCUUUAGAGGAAGGAGAAGUCGUAACA